Molecule: ribosomal RNA, 763 nt
Filed under: uncultured Veillonellaceae bacterium
Lineage: Bacteria; Bacillati; Bacillota; Negativicutes; Veillonellales; Veillonellaceae
Description: bacterial SSU rRNA
Rfam family: Bacterial small subunit ribosomal RNA
Source: RNAcentral
GAGCUUGCUCUCUUGAAGUUAGUGGCGAACGGGUGAGUAACGCGUAAUCAACCUGCCCUUCAGAGGGGGAUAACAACGGGAAACCGUUGCUAAUACCGCGUACGAUUCACAGGCGGCAUCGCUUGUGAAUGAAAGGUGGCCUCUAUGUAUAAGCUAUCGCUGAAGGAGGGGAUUGCGUCUGAUUAGCUAGUUGGAGGGGUAACGGCCCACCAAGGCAAUGAUCAGUAGCCGGUCUGAGAGGAUGAACGGCCACAUUGGGACUGAGACACGGCCCAAACUCCUACGGGAGGCAGCAGUGGGGAAUCUUCCGCAAUGGACGAAAGUCUGACGGAGCAACGCCGCGUGAGUGAUGAAGGUCUUCGGAUUGUAAAGCUCUGUUAAUCGGGACGAAAGAGUUCUGUGUGAAUAAUGCAGAAAAGUGACGGUACCGGAAUAGAAAGCCACGGCUAACUACGUGCCAGCAGCCGCGGUAAUACGUAGGUGGCAAGCGUUGUCCGGAAUUAUUGGGCGUAAAGCGCGCGCAGGCGGCCUAUCCAGUCUGUCUUAAAAGUUCGGGGCUCAACCCCGUGAUGGGAUGGAAACUAGUAGGCUAGAGUAUCGGAGAGGAAACGCGGAAUUCCUAGUGUAGCGGUGAAAUGCGUAGAUAUUAGGNAGACACCAGUGGCGAAGGCGGCUUUCUGGACGGAAACUGACGCUGAGGCGCGAAAGCCAGGGGAGCGAACGGGAUUAGAUACCCCGGUAGUCCUGGCCGUAAACGAUGGGU